GGGGGCUUCGGCCCCCGGCCCUAAUGCAGCUCCCCGUGGGGGAACGGUCACAAGCCCGUGGAAAUGCAGAGUGAGGC
RNAcentral lists this non-coding RNA (77 nucleotides) under unclassified sequences. The record is from RNAcentral.